Molecule: ribosomal RNA, 521 nt
Filed under: uncultured bacterium
Lineage: Bacteria
Description: partial 16S ribosomal RNA
Rfam family: Bacterial small subunit ribosomal RNA
Source: RNAcentral
UGGGGAAUAUUGGACAAUGGGCGCAAGCCUGAUCCAGCCAUGCCGCGUGAGUGAUGAAGGCCCUAGGGUUGUAAAGCUCUUUCACCGGUGAAGAUAAUGACGGUAACCGGAGAAGAAGCCCCGGCUAACUUCGUGCCAGCAGCCGCGGUAAUACGAAGGGGGCUAGCGUUGUUCGGAUUUACUGGGCGUAAAGCGCACGUAGGCGGACUUUUAAGUCAGGGGUGAAAUCCCGGGGCUCAACCCCGGAACUGCCUUUGAUACUGGAAGUCUUGAGUAUGGUAGAGGUGAGUGGAAUUCCGAGUGUAGAGGUGAAAUUCGUAGAUAUUCGGAGGAACACCAGUGGCGAAGGCGGCUCACUGGACCAUUACUGACGCUGAGGUGCGAAAGCGUGGGGAGCAAACAAGAUUAGAUACCCUGGUAGUCCACGCCGUAAACGAUGAAUGUUAGCCGUUGGGGAGUUUAACUCUUCGGUGGCGCAGCUAACGCAUUAAACAUUCCGCCUGGGGAGUACGGUCGCAAGA